Molecule: ribosomal RNA, 300 nt
Filed under: uncultured Acidimicrobiales bacterium
Lineage: Bacteria; Bacillati; Actinomycetota; Acidimicrobiia; Acidimicrobiales
Description: bacterial SSU rRNA
Rfam family: Bacterial small subunit ribosomal RNA
Source: RNAcentral
GCGUGAGCAAUCUACCUUAGUUACAGGGAUAGCCCGAGGAAACUCGGAUUAAUACCUGAUAUUCUUUAAAUUUCGCAUGAAGUUAAAAGGAAAGGUCAGCCGAACUAAGAUGAGCUCGCGUUCUAUCAGCUAGUUGGUGAGGUAAAAGCUCACCAAGGCUACGACGGAUAGCUGGUCUGAGAGGGCGAUCAGCCACACUGGGACUGAGACACGGCCCAGACUCCUACGGGAGGCUGCAGCAGGGAAUAUUGGACAAUGGGGGCAACCCUGAUCCAGCCAUGCCGCGUGUGUGAAGAAGGC